UUGAGUACUUACGUUUCCUCGGCGGGUCCGCCCGCCGAUUGGACAAAAUUAAACCCUUUGCAGUUGCAAUCAGCGUCUGAAAAACAUAAUAGUUACAACUUUCAACAACGGAUCUCUUGGUUCUGGCAUCGAUGAAGAACGCAGCGAAAUGCGAUAAGUAGUGUGAAUUGCAGAAUUCAGUGAAUCAUCGAAUCUUUGAACGCACAUUGCGCCCCUUGGUAUUCCAUGGGGCAUGCCUGUUCGAGCGUCAUUUGUACCUUCAAGCUUUGCUUGGUGUUGGGUGUUUGUCUCGCCUUUGCGUGUAGACUCGCCUCAAAACAAUUGGCAGCCGGCGUAUUGAUUUCGGAGCGCAGUACAUCUCGCGCUUUGCACUCAUAACGACGACGUCCAAAAGUACAUUUUUACACUCUUGACCUCGGAUCAGGUAGGGAUACCCGCUGAACUUAAGCAUAUCAAUAAGCGGGAGGAAGAAUCAUUACC
RNAcentral lists this ribosomal RNA (480 nucleotides) under Ascochyta phacae. RNAcentral's name for it is "eukaryotic LSU rRNA". The stretch from base 97 to 250 matches the Rfam family "5.8S ribosomal RNA". Lineage: Eukaryota; Fungi; Ascomycota; Dothideomycetes; Pleosporales; Didymellaceae. The record is from RNAcentral.